GUGGUAAGUGCCUCUAUCAAUCACAGGGAGAUCAUGUCCUUGCCUGAAGAUGUGCAUAUAAAGAUACCCCAUACAGCAGCAUGCCCUGAGGGAGCUUGAUGGUAAUUUCAUGGGUGCCAAAUAUAUUAAUUGAGAUUCUCCUAGUCUAUCACAGUAACUAUGAUGCAGAAACAAAAGACUUGCCUGCCUUUCAGAUCUGCAAGCUGUUGAACUCUGAAUGGAAGAAUAACUCAGUUCAUACUCUCCCCUCACCAGCUUCUCUUCUUCACUGGCUGAAAUAAAGGAAAAAGUGAUCAAAAGAGACAGAGGGUUCAAGGGGGAACAUUGCUUUAGACUUGUCCAUAUAAGAAAAAACAAGUAGAAAUGCGUUGGCCAAGGAAGGCACAUGGACCCUAACUGAGGAGCUGCUGAUGUGAAACAUGCACAAGAGUCAGACGUGAGCAGCAGCAGCCUGGUGUGGAGCUUCCUUGAGCAUGGCCACAGCCUUGUAAAGAAACAUCACAGCCUUGGAAAUUAUGCUUGGAACUGGCAAGAAAGAGGAAACAGACUAGCAAUAUCCUUCCUUGCUGUUUAAUGAAAUACCAUUACAAAGUCAAUGAGAUGCACUAGAAGCUGGAACUAAAGCAAGUGUAGAAGUCUCCUCCCUUUCUCCUUCAAGUUCUUUUGGAAAGAAUACAAGAUUUGAUGCUCCUUUUAUGAAGGUGUGAGGUGGUAGGUAUUUUUGUGUGGUUGCAAGCCCCUUCUUCAUUGUUUGCAGGAACUGGGGGAAGUUGUGGAUUUAUACGAUGUUUGAGCCAAAAGCUGGGGGUUAGCAGUCUUGCCUGUGGUGAUGUUUGUCUGCAUCAUGGAAGAGUAACAAAUAAAAUUG
Molecule: long non-coding RNA, 868 nt
Organism: Cygnus atratus (black swan)
Lineage: Eukaryota; Metazoa; Chordata; Aves; Anseriformes; Anatidae
Exons: 7
Source: RefSeq, a predicted model, not a curated record